This 300-nucleotide ribosomal RNA is filed under the name Triticum aestivum (bread wheat). RNAcentral describes it as "partial small subunit ribosomal RNA". The record is from RNAcentral. Lineage: Eukaryota; Viridiplantae; Streptophyta; Magnoliopsida; Poales; Poaceae.
AUGCCCAUGGUUGGCGAGCUGCUGCUGAUGGUUGGAAUCCUGAUGGUCGUGCCCGUAGUUCUUCUAACCAUGGCUGAGUUGCUGCUGAUGGUUGGAACACCGCCGCCUUGUGAGGAUGCGGACGGCUUUGACGACGUCCACACCGUGUUCGUGCAGGGGCAUCACCGCCUCCGGUGUGGAGUGACCUCACGAAGGGUGUCCUCUAAUGCGGCUGAUUUUAUUGCCGGUGAGGAGAAAGAGCAUGCACCCAUGGUUUUCAACCGUGUCCUGCAGCCGGAGGAACUCAGAAUCCUGCGAUAG